GAUGAACGCUGGCGGCGUGCCUAAUACAUGCAAGUCGAGCGAACAGACGAGGAGCUUGCUCCUCUGACGUUAGCGGCGGACGGGUGAGUAACACGUGGAUAACCUACCUAUAAGACUGGGAUAACUUCGGGAAACCGGAGCUACUACCGGAUAAUAUAUCGACCCGGAUGGUUCAAUAGUUAAAGACGGUUUUUCGUUCGCUAAUAGACGGAUCCGGCCCGCAUCAGCUAGUUGGUAAGGUAACGGCUUACCAAGGCUACGAUGCGUAGCCGACCUGAGAGCGUGAUCGGCCAGACGGGAACUGAGACACGGUACAGACUCCUACGGGAGGCAGCAGCAGGGAAUCUUCCGCAAGGGGCGAAAGCCUGACGGAGCAACGCCGCGUGAGUGAUGAAGGUCUUCGGAUCGUAAAGCUCUGUUGUUCGGAAAGAACAAAUGUUUAAGUACCUAUGCACGUCUUGACGGUACCUAAUCAGAAAGCCACGGCUAACUACGUG
Molecule: ribosomal RNA, 497 nt
Filed under: uncultured bacterium
Lineage: Bacteria
Description: partial 16S ribosomal RNA
Rfam family: Bacterial small subunit ribosomal RNA
Source: RNAcentral